RNAcentral lists this ribosomal RNA (420 nucleotides) under uncultured bacterium. Its description in RNAcentral is "partial 16S ribosomal RNA". The record is from RNAcentral.
UACGGCUACCUUGUUACGACUUCACCCCAGUCAUGAAUCUCACCGUGGUAAGCGCCCUCCCGAAGGUUAAGCUACCUACUUCUGGUGAAACCCACUCCCAUGGUGUGACGGGCGGUGUGUACAAGACCCGGGAACGUAUUCACCGCAGCAUGCUGAUCUGCGAUUACUAGCGAUUCCGACUUCACGUAGUCGAGUUGCAGACUACGAUCCGGACUACGAUCGGCUUUAAGGGAUUGGCUCCACCUCGCGGCUUGGCAACCCUCUGUACCGACCAUUGUAUGACGUGUGAAGCCCUAUCCAUAAGGGCCAUGAGGACUUGACGUCAUCCCCACCUUCCUCCGGUUUGUCACCGGCAGUCUACUAGAGUGCCCAACCAAAUGAUGGCAACUAGUGACAAGGGUUGCGCUCGUUGCGGGACUU